AGAGUUUGAUCAUGGCUCAGAAUCAACGCUGGCGGCAUGCCUAACACAUGCAAGUCGAACGCGGUUUCCUCGCAAGGGGAAACUGAGUGGCGAACGGGUGAGUAACGCGUGGGUGACCUACCUUCGAGUGGGGGAUAACGUCCCGAAAGGGACGCUAAUACCGCAUGACAUCCUGCCUUUGAAUAGGUGGAGAUCAAAGCCGGGGAUCGCAAGACCCGGCGCUUGAUGAGGGGCCCGCGUCCGAUUAGCUAGUUGGUGGGGUAACGGCUCACCAAGGCAACGAUCGGUAUCCGGCCUGAGAGGGCGGACGGACACACUGGGACUGAGACACGGCCCAGACUCCUACGGGAGGCAGCAGUGGGGAAUUGUUCACAAUGGGCGCAAGCCUGAUGACGCAAUGCCGCGUGGAGGAUGAAGGUCUUCGGAUUGUAAACUCCUGUUGCCAGGGACGAAUGGCUCCGACCUAAUACGUCGGAGUAUGACGGUACCUGGUGAGGAAGCCCCGGCUAACUCUGUGCCAGCAGCCGCGGUAAUACAGGGGGGGCAAGCGUUGUUCGGAAUUACUGGGCGUAAAGGGCGCGUAGGCGGCCUUCUAAGUCGAACGUGAAAUCCCCGGGCUCAACCCGGGAACUGCGUCCGAUACUGGGAGGCUUGAAUCCGGGAGAGGGAUGUGGAAUUCCAGGUGUAGCGGUGAAAUGCGUAGAUAUCUGGAGGAACACCGGUGGCGAAGGCGGCAUCCUGGACCGGUAUUGACGCUGAGGCGCGAAAGCUAGGGGAGCAAACGGGAUUAGAUACCCUAGUAGUCC
Molecule: ribosomal RNA, 806 nt
Filed under: uncultured bacterium
Lineage: Bacteria
Description: bacterial SSU rRNA
Rfam family: Bacterial small subunit ribosomal RNA
Source: RNAcentral